Molecule: long non-coding RNA, 236 nt
Filed under: Lathyrus oleraceus (garden pea)
Lineage: Eukaryota; Viridiplantae; Streptophyta; Magnoliopsida; Fabales; Fabaceae
Description: Pisum sativum (pea) long non-coding RNA (PSAT_LNC025506)
Source: RNAcentral
UUUAUUAUUUUGAUUUUAUAUUUAAUUAUGUUUUAUUAUUUUAAUUUUAUAUUUAAUUAUGUAAGGUCAAAAUUAGGGUUAGAUUUUACGUUGGGUUUGGGCUCUCACCUUUUAUGAUUCAAGCCCUUUCCAUGUUUCUACUACACCCCUUUAGCUUCUUUUUUUUAAUAAUUUAAUUUAUUUCAUUUAAUUGAUUUAUUUUCUUAAUCAUUUAUUCAAAAUGCAAAAAAUAAUUU